UAGGGAAUCUUCCACAAUGGACGAAAGUCUGAUGGAGCAACGCCGCGUGAGUGAUGAAGGGUUUCGGCUCGUAAAACUCUGUUGUUGGAGAAGAACGGGUGUCAGAGUAACUGUUGACAUCGUGACGGUAUCCAACCAGAAAGCCACGGCUAACUACGUGCCAGCAGCCGCGGUAAUACGUAGGUGGCAAGCGUUGUCCGGAUUUAUUGGGCGUAAAGCGAGCGCAGGCGGUUUUUUAGGUCUGAUGUGAAAGCCUUCGGCUUAACCGGAGAAGUGCAUCGGAAACCGGGAGACUUGAGUGCAGAAGAGGACAGUGGAACUCCAUGUGUAGCGGUGAAAUGCGUAGAUAUAUGGAAGAACACCAGUGGCGAAGGCGGCUGUCUGGUCUGCAACUGACGCUGAGGCUCGAAAGCAUGGGUAGCGAACAGGAUUAGAUACCCUGGUAGUCCAUGCCGUAAACGAUGAGUGC
Molecule: ribosomal RNA, 469 nt
Filed under: uncultured bacterium
Lineage: Bacteria
Description: partial 16S ribosomal RNA
Rfam family: Bacterial small subunit ribosomal RNA
Source: RNAcentral